This 590-nucleotide ribosomal RNA is filed under the name uncultured bacterium. RNAcentral's name for it is "partial 16S ribosomal RNA". It matches the Rfam family "Bacterial small subunit ribosomal RNA", at positions 355 to 1376 of the family's 1533-position model. The record is from RNAcentral.
UGGGGAAUUUUGGACAAUGGGCGGAAGCCUGAUCCAGCAAUGCCGCGUGCAGGAAGAAGGCCUUCGGGUUGUAAACUGCUUUUGUCAGGGAAGAAAUCCUCUGGGUUAAUACCUCGGGGGGAUGACGGUACCUGAAGAAUAAGCACCGGCUAACUACGUGCCAGCAGCCGCGGUAAUACGUAGGGUGCGAGCGUUAAUCGGAAUUACUGGGCGUAAAGCGUGCGCAGGCGGUUGUGCAAGACAGGUGUGAAAUCCCCCGGGGCUUAACCUGGGAACUGCACUUGUGACUGCACGGGCUAGAGUACGGUAGAGGGGGGAUGGAAUUCCGCGUGUAGCAGUGAAAUGCGUAGAUAUGCGGAGGAACACCGUGGCGAAGGCAAUCCCCUGGACCUGUACUGACGCUCAUGCACGAAAGCGUGGGGAGCAAACAGGAUUAGAUACCCUGGUAGUCCACGCCCUAAACGAUGUCAACUGGUUGUUGGACGGCUUGCUGUUCAGUAACGAAGCUAACGCGUAAAGUUGACCGCCUGGGGUAGUACGGCCGCAAGGUUGAAACUCAAAUGAAUUGACGGGGUCAUAGCUGUUUCCUG